CUCUGCGGGGAGGCAGAGCUUCCAGAGAAUUAGCAGAGAUGGCUUUGUUUCCGGCUGGGAGACAACCAGGCAGAACUUGGCUUCCUUCACCAUUAGAAGCAGCUGGCCUGACUUAGGAGGUAUCAGAAUCUGACUGGAGAGAAAGAGGUUCCUGGCAGCCUCAGGACCUGGCUGGGCCCCCAGAAUGGACUGGAAAUGUCCAGGUACUGACUGGCCUUUGGGAACAGAUGAAAGAAGGGGUUGGUCUUCAGGCUUGAAUUCUGCCUCAACACAGCCCUUCCUCAUUUUGAGGUGCCCAACAAAGAGAGGUAAAGGCAAACAUGUGCUUUUGAUGAUGACAAAUCCCAAUGUAGACCCUUGUAACCUAGUGUUGGCCCCUGUGGAGUGUGCCUCCUUCCUGGGCUGGAGGCAGGCCUAAGGCCCGUAGUCAAAACGGGCUAUGUGGACAUUCCCUCCAAGCCCACACCAGAAUCUUUCAAGUAGGCAUCCCAGGAAAGGCCUGCACACUGGGGAGAAGCCAGAGCCUGAAGCCUUCCCAACCUUCAAGAAUGUUUCUAAGAGCAUUAUGCUUUGCCAAUGACACUGAACCACAGCCCCAGAUGGGAAAUUGUCCAAAUGUUAUUUUUUCACUAGGAAAUGACCUUAGUUGUCUCUGCUGAUGCUUUUUGUGUUAAAGUCUAU
Mustela erminea (ermine) is the source of this 681-nucleotide long non-coding RNA. RefSeq lists it as uncharacterized. Lineage: Eukaryota; Metazoa; Chordata; Mammalia; Carnivora; Mustelidae. The record is from RefSeq and is a predicted model, not a curated record. The transcript is spliced from 3 exons.